This 301-nucleotide ribosomal RNA is filed under the name uncultured bacterium. RNAcentral describes it as "partial 16S ribosomal RNA". It matches the Rfam family "Bacterial small subunit ribosomal RNA", at positions 509 to 807 of the family's 1533-position model. The record is from RNAcentral.
CAGUCGCCGCGGUAAUACGUAGGUGGCAAACGUUGUCCGGAAUUAUUGGGCGUAAAGGGCUCGCAGGCGGUUUCUUAAGUCUGAUGUGAAAGCCCCCGGCUCAACCGGGGAGGGUCAUUAGAAACUGGGAAACUUGAGUGCAGAAGAGGAGAGUGGAAUUCCACGUGUAGCGGUGAAAUGCGUAGAGAUGUGGAGGAACACCAGUGGCGAAGGCGACUCUCUGGUCUGUAACUGACGCUGAGGAGCGAAAGCGUGGGGAGCGAACAGGAUUAGAGACCCCAGUAGUCCCUGUCUCUUAUAC